RNAcentral lists this ribosomal RNA (417 nucleotides) under uncultured bacterium. Its description in RNAcentral is "bacterial SSU rRNA". It matches the Rfam family "Bacterial small subunit ribosomal RNA", at positions 505 to 916 of the family's 1533-position model. The record is from RNAcentral.
GUGCCAGCAGCCGCGGCGGCUGACACGAAAGGUGCAAGCGUUGUUCGGAUUUACUGGGCGUAAAGAGAUCGUAGGUGGUUUGUUAAGUCGGGUGUGAAAUCCCGGGGCUCAACCCCGGAACUGCAUUCGAUACUGGCAGGCUAGAGUUCGGGAGGGGGAAGCGGAAUUCCGUGUGUAGCAGUGAAAUGCGUAGAUAUACGGAGGAACACCUGAGGCGAAGGCGGCUUCCUGGACCGAUACUGACACUGAGGAUCGAAAGCGUGGGUAGCAAACAGGAUUAGAUACCCUGGUAGUCCACGCCCUAAACGAUGUCUACUAGCCGUAGCGGGUAUCGACCCCUGCUGUGGCGCAGCUAACGCGAUAAGUAGACCGCCUGGGGAGUACGGUCGCAAGAUUAAAACUCAAAGGAAUUGACGG